UAAAAAGCUCGUAGUUGGAUUUCUGUUGAGGAUGACCGGUCCGCUCUUUGAGCGCGUACCUGGUUCAGCCUUGGCAUCCUCUUGGGGAACGCUACUGUGCUUGAUUGCAUGGGGCGGUAUUCAAGACUUUUACUUUGAGGAAAUUAGAGUGUUCACUGCAAGCGUUAGCAAUUGAAUACAUUAGCAUGGAAUAAUAAUAUAGGACCUUGGUACUAUUUUGUUGGUUUCUAGAACUAAGGUAAUGAUUAAUAGGGACAAUUGGGGGCAUUCGUAUUAACGCGUCAGAGGUGGAAUUCUUAGAUUGCGUUACGACGAACUACUGCGAAAGCAUUUGCCAAGGAUGUUCUCAUUGAUCAAGAACGAAAGUUAGGUGAUCGAAGACGAUCAGAUACCGUCCUAGUCUUAACCAUAAACUAUGCCGACUGGAGAUCGGGGGUCGUUAGCUUUGUGACGCCCUCUGCAUCUUGAGAGAAAUCAAAGUCUUUGGGUUCCGGGGGGAGUAUGGUCGCAAGGCUGAAACUUAAAGGAAUUGACGGAAGGGCACCACCAGGAGUGGAGCCUGCGGCUUAAUUUGACUCAACACGGGAAAAUUUACCAGGUCCAGACAUAGUAAGGAUUGACAGACUGAUAGCUCUUUCGAGAUUCUA
RNAcentral lists this ribosomal RNA (647 nucleotides) under uncultured marine eukaryote. RNAcentral's name for it is "SSU rRNA". It matches the Rfam family "Eukaryotic small subunit ribosomal RNA", at positions 620 to 1270 of the family's 1831-position model. The record is from RNAcentral.